GACGAACGCUGGCGGCGUGCCUAAUACAUGCGAGUAGAACGCACAGUUUAUACCGUAGCUUGCUACACCAUAGACUGUGAGUUGCGAACGGGUGAGUAACGCGUAGGUAACCUGCCUGGUAGCGGGGGAUAACUAUUGGAAACGAUAGCUAAUACCGCAUAAUAUUAAUUUUUGCAUGAUAAUUAAUUGAAAGGUGCAAUUGCACCACUACCAGAUGGACCUGCGUUGUAUUAGCUAGUAGGUGAGGUAACGGCUCACCUAGGCGACGAUACAUAGCCGACCUGAGAGGGUGAUCGGCCACACUGGGACUGAGACACGGCCCAGACUCCUACGGGAGGCAGCAGUAGGGAAUCUUCGGCAAUGGACGAAAGUCUGACCGAGCAACGCCGCGUGAGUGAAGAAGGUUUUCGGAUCGUAAAGCUCUGUUGUAAGAGAAGAACGGGUGUGAGAGUGGAAAGUUCACACUGUGACGGUAUCUUACCAGAAAGGGACGGCUAACUACGUG
This 505-nucleotide ribosomal RNA is filed under the name uncultured bacterium. RNAcentral's name for it is "partial 16S ribosomal RNA". It matches the Rfam family "Bacterial small subunit ribosomal RNA", at positions 28 to 507 of the family's 1533-position model. The record is from RNAcentral.